CCUACGGGGGGCUGCAGUGAGGAAUAUUGGUCAAUGGGCGGAAGCCUGAACCAGCCAUGCCGCGUGCAGGAAGACGGCCCUACGGGUUGUAAACUGCUUUUCCGGGGGAAGAAUAAUCCCGAUUCGUCGGGAGACGACGGUACCCCGGGAAUAAGGAUCGGCUAACUCCGUGCCAGCAGCCGCGGUAAUACGGAGGAUCCGAGCGUUAUCCGGAUUUACGGGGUUUAAAGGGUGCGUAGGCGGCCCCCUAGAAAGGCUGCGGCUCAACCGUAGGACUGCCGUUGAUACUGGGGGCCUUGGAUUCGGUCGAGGCGGGCGGAAUGCGUGGUGUAGCGGUGAAAUGCUUAGAUAUCACGCAGAACGCCGAUUGCGAAGGCAGCUCGCCGGGCCGUUAUCGACGCUGAGGCACGAAAGCGUGGGGAUCGAACAGGAUUAGAUACCCCAGUAGUC
This 450-nucleotide ribosomal RNA is filed under the name uncultured bacterium. RNAcentral's name for it is "partial 16S ribosomal RNA". It matches the Rfam family "Bacterial small subunit ribosomal RNA", at positions 338 to 795 of the family's 1533-position model. The record is from RNAcentral.